GAUGAACGCUGGCGGCGUGCCUAAUACAUGCAAGUCGAGCGAACAGACGAGGAGCUUGCUCCUCUGACGUUAGCGGCGGACGGGUGAGUAACACGUGGAUAACCUACCUAUAAGACUGGGAUAACUUCGGGAAACCGGAGCUAAUACCGGAUAAUAUAUUGAACCGCAUGGUUCAAUAGUGAAAGACGGUUUUGCUGUCACUUAUAGAUGGAUCCGCGCCGCAUUAGCUAGUUGGUAAGGUAACGGCUUACCAAGGCGACGAUGCGUAGCCGACCUGAGAGGGUGAUCGGCCACACUGGAACUGAGACACGGUCCAGACUCCUACGGGAGGCAGCAGUAGGGAAUCUUCCGCAAUGGGCGAAAGCCUGACGGAGCAACGCCGCGUGAGUGAUGAAGGUCUUCGGAUCGUAAAACUCUGUUAUUAGGGAAGAACAAAUGUGUAAGUAACUAUGCACGUCUUGACGGUACCUAAUCAGAAAGCCACGACUAACUAC
This 494-nucleotide ribosomal RNA is filed under the name uncultured bacterium. RNAcentral's name for it is "partial 16S ribosomal RNA". It matches the Rfam family "Bacterial small subunit ribosomal RNA", at positions 28 to 504 of the family's 1533-position model. The record is from RNAcentral.